Long non-coding RNA from Hyla sarda, 238 nucleotides. RefSeq lists it as uncharacterized. The transcript is spliced from 3 exons. The record is from RefSeq and is a predicted model, not a curated record. Lineage: Eukaryota; Metazoa; Chordata; Amphibia; Anura; Hylidae.
CAUGAACCCAAACCCCUCCUUCUUACACCAGCUUCUGAGCCACUUGUUUACCUCCCUGAUCUCCUGCUGCCUCUCUGGUGUGGCUCGUGGUACAGGUGCAGCAACCAACAAAGAAUGGGGAUAACACGGCCCUGAACGGCAUUAGAUUAUAUUGUUCCUAUCCUGAUUCGACAGAUAAACAGGAGACAAUUACAUCUACAGUCGGAGGUGAGGGGACCUGGGGUGACGAGCAUUGGUG